UAAGUGAAGAGUUUGAUCCUGGCUCAGAGUGAACGCUGGCGGUAGGCCUAACACAUGCAAGUCGAACGGCAGCACAGGAGAGCUUGCUCUC
RNAcentral lists this ribosomal RNA (91 nucleotides) under Stenotrophomonas maltophilia. RNAcentral's name for it is "partial 16S ribosomal RNA". It matches the Rfam family "Bacterial small subunit ribosomal RNA", at positions 1 to 87 of the family's 1533-position model. The record is from RNAcentral. Lineage: Bacteria; Pseudomonadati; Pseudomonadota; Gammaproteobacteria; Lysobacterales; Lysobacteraceae.